UGAUAAAAUUAAAUCAGCACUCAAAGCAGACACACAAUUAACACUAAAAACAGAUAGACAAUCAAUAAAUUAAACACAACAGACAGACAAUCAACAAACACAACAGACAGACAAUCAACACUCAAAGUUAAAGCAAAGUUCUACAUUUCAAACAUAAAUCCCUUCACAAUCACUUCUCUCAUUCUCUGCUACUUCCAAGUCAACAUCGAUGUCAACUGUUGUUGGCAAUGGCCCAAUGUCAAGAGUAACAUCGUCACUCUCUUUCUCUCUAAAUCUUCUCGACGGACCUCUCAUUGGAACAUGCCAAGAUGAUGAGUCAUCUUCACGCAGGA
RNAcentral lists this small RNA (332 nucleotides) under Arabidopsis thaliana (thale cress). RNAcentral's name for it is "ATSL262700". The record is from RNAcentral. Lineage: Eukaryota; Viridiplantae; Streptophyta; Magnoliopsida; Brassicales; Brassicaceae.